RNAcentral lists this transfer RNA (74 nucleotides) under Mus musculus (house mouse). RNAcentral describes it as "tRNA-Ile". Lineage: Eukaryota; Metazoa; Chordata; Mammalia; Rodentia; Muridae. The record is from RNAcentral.
GGCGGGUUAGUUGAGUUGGUUAGAGCAUGGUGCUAAUAACGCCAAGGUCGAGGUUUUGAUUCCCGUAUGGGCCA